ACGGAAUCGCCGAUCCCUAUGUCCCACCAGAAAAUCCUGGCUCAUUUACCGACGUUAAUAACAAAUUCGACGAGGUUAAGCAGCGAAUUCAACACAAAUUCUACAAUUGGCGUAUGGGAACGAAUCGAAUUCGCAAGAAGCAGGGAUUCGAGAAAUUUGAUAUUAAAACGUUUUGCGCAAAAGCCGAAGAUAUCUAUGUACAGGCUCACCGAGCAUUGGAACAGAGGGAUAAGACGGCAAUGUAUAAAUAUAUUACCGAAUACGCGUUUGCGG
RNAcentral lists this small RNA (273 nucleotides) under Caenorhabditis elegans. Its description in RNAcentral is "Unclassified non-coding RNA Y119D3B.30". The record is from RNAcentral. Lineage: Eukaryota; Metazoa; Nematoda; Chromadorea; Rhabditida; Rhabditidae.